GAUGAACGCUGGCGGCGUGCCUAAUACAUGCAAGUCGAGCGAACAGAUAAGGAGCUUGCUCCUUUGACGUUAGCGGCGGACGGGUGAGUAACACGUGGGUAACCUACCUAUAAGACUGGGAUAACUUCGGGAAACCGGAGCUAAUACCGGAUAACAUUUUGAACCGCAUGGUUCUAUAGUGAAAGAUGGUUUUGCUAUCACUUAUAGAUGGACCCGCGCCGUAUUAGCUAGUUGGUAAGGUAACGGCUUACCAAGGCAACGAUGCGUAGCCGACCUGAGAGGGUGAUCGGCCACACGGGAACUGAGACACGGACCAGACACCUACGGGAGGAAGCAGUAGGGAAUGUUACGCAAUGGGCGAAAGCAUGACGGAGCAAGGCCGAGUGAGUGAUGAAGGGUUUCGGAUCGUAAAACUCUGUUAUUAGGGAAGAAAAAAAGUGUAAGUAAAUGUGCACGUAUUGACGGUACCUAAUCAGAAAGCAACGGCUAACUACGUG
This 497-nucleotide ribosomal RNA is filed under the name uncultured bacterium. Its description in RNAcentral is "partial 16S ribosomal RNA". It matches the Rfam family "Bacterial small subunit ribosomal RNA", at positions 28 to 507 of the family's 1533-position model. The record is from RNAcentral.